Molecule: small RNA, 97 nt
Filed under: Salmonella enterica subsp. enterica serovar Muenchen
Lineage: Bacteria; Pseudomonadati; Pseudomonadota; Gammaproteobacteria; Enterobacterales; Enterobacteriaceae
Also listed under: 6 other names
Description: partial RtT sRNA
Rfam family: RtT RNA
About the family: This family represents a bacterial cis-regulatory element known as RtT RNA. The exact function of RtT is unknown although it is thought that it may be involved in changing the cellular response in relation to amino acid starvation.
Source: RNAcentral
AUAUCUCUCUGUACGGGAAGGAUGAGAAGCUUCGACUAAGGUUCGAUUCGAGCGCAGCGAGAAAGCGUUGCCGCAGGCAACGACCCGAAGGGCGAAG